This 2330-nucleotide long non-coding RNA is filed under the name Rattus norvegicus (Norway rat). Its description in RNAcentral is "long non-coding RNA NONRATT016266". Lineage: Eukaryota; Metazoa; Chordata; Mammalia; Rodentia; Muridae. The record is from RNAcentral.
UUUAUGACUUACCUAGUGGAGCCUUUAUUUACAGAGUGGGCCAGGUUUUCAGACACGAGGCUGUCACAGACGAUGCUCGGACACGUGGGGCUGAAUAAAGCCAGCUGGAAGGGACUACAAAGACAACAGCCUAGCAGCGAGGAUGCCAGUGCUGCAUUUGAGUUGAACUCACAGCUAUUAACUCAGGAAAAUCGGUUAUCAUAACCCUGAACCAGUGGGACAACUUCCCUCCUGCAAGAUUGUGGAAAUGUGAAAUGGUCUUGAGUUGAAGAACUGGUUCUGACUGCUGAGGUUUCCAAGGAAAUGAUGUCAGCGUUAUUUAUCAAGAUUAUCUUCUGUUGGAUCAUUUGAGCCCAUUUUUUAAUAGGACAUGAAUAUAUAGCAAUAUGCAUCUGGCUUUUGUAUGAAACCUUAAGUAUGUAAAGCUCAGCAGGAGAACCAGAAAGGAUUAACAAAGGAAGAUGUUUUUAGGUGUGCCAUGUGCUUUCAAAGUGUGUAUUCUUCAAGCCCUGAAACUUGAACUCAACCUCAGCAGCAAUCUUGAUGCAACCAGUCCAAUCCAACAGCGCAUCUGUCCCUUCCACUACUCUGAGAAAACAGAAAUGUGAAGUGCCCAGCCUCUGCUGCCUCUGGCAAGAAUCAAUCAAUGUUUACAAAUCCAAUCUGAAAUAUUGGUUCUAAUUGCCUCGAGCAUUAUUGUGAAGGAACCACUGACCGUUCUCAGCUGAGCUGGAGACUGCAGCUCUUCGCAGCGUUUGCCUUUUCUUCUUUGGAUGUCAAUGUCAUCAACGCCUCCCACUUGUUUUGUUCUGUGCACUGGAGUCUGAGCAUUUACCACAGAUACCACAUGAAGCUUUUCACUCCAGGGCUGUUUGGCAAUGCAGAUUCCUUUUGUAACUAUUAGUUUUUAACCUGGGGUGGGAGGGAAGGGACACCAAUGUCCUAGCUGUGUUCUGACUCUGCAGUGAAGACACUGCAUGUUGUUUUCACUACUGUACACUUGACCUGCACAUGCAAGGAAAAGGUGGAAUGUUUAACAUGCCGUAUCAGCUCAGGGUACUUGCCAAUCAGAAAUAAAGUGGGAUAGGGAAGUGUGUCUUUCAAAUCAAGGGUACUAAAGGCCCUUCCGCUGCAGUGCGUGAGAGGUAUGUUGUGUACGGCUGUAUGGGUGUGUGUUUGCGCGCAUGUUUGUGCAUGUAUGGCUGUGCAUGUUCUGUCCAUCCGUGUGGGAAAGGAUUAGAAUUGUAAGCUUUUAUUUAUUGUUUUAGAAUGUGACAUAGUGAGCAGCCACACUUGGGGGAGGGGAAGGUAGGUGAAGCUGUAAGAUUGCUCCAGAUGCCUUAAACUAUGCACAAAGCUAAGUGACCAAACUUCUCAUUUUGAUUUGAAAAGUGCAUUGUUUUCUUGUCCCCCCUCCUCCACUUUGAUGAAAUGUUACCCUUUGGUGGAUCUUUUGAUGUGAAUAGAUGUUUUCUAGGGUAAAAUUUAAGGACUAAUUUUAGACUUAAACACUCCACUUUUGUAAUGUGUUUUCAGUGGUCUUAUGCAUAGCAAGCACAACUGUAACUAGUUUAAGAGAAACGGUGCUUUCUUUUAGUUAAUUUGUAUUGCCCUUGUUACUGUUAAAGACUGUUUAUUAUGUUUACAGUUUGUUGCAACAGCCAUCUUCUUGGGAGAAAACUUGAGUGUAAAGCCAUUUGUAAAAGGCUUUGCCACACUCAUUUAAACAUGUGCCUGUUGCUGUUACCUUUCGAUGAAUAAAAACUGGUCUUUUCUCAUUUUUUAUCUUUGCACUUUACCUCACCACUCAAUCCUUUGGAAAUCACAUGCUGAAUUACUUAGGUGAUCAGUUAGCUGUUUCCUCUUCCAUUCAGUCGUGGGUAAUCUUGUGGUCUAAGCUAUGUGCAGACUGUCUUCUGGAAGUGUGUGAAUGAGCCUUGCUCUGCACCCUGCAGGUGUGACAAGGCCUGGCUCAGUUUGAUCAGUCUUGCCUGCUGUGGAUGGUUCUUCAUAGCAUUUGUUGGGAAUUGCCUAAGAAAUCACACCCUUGAAGGGGAUAAAAAAAAUACCAGUCAGUUGUGUUUAUAUUCUUGGCCUUUUUAAAGCAAUGUAAGAAAUAGCCACUUAAUUCUUUUUUGGGGACAGGGUCCUAGGCUCAGAUAGCCUGGCAACAAUAUAGACAGGCUGGCCUCAACUCACAGAUACCUCCUUGCUUUUGGGUAUUAGUAUUAAAGGUGUGUGCCACCAUCCCCAAUUAAGAGUGGCCUUUCUACCCUCCCAGACAGACCUAAUCCAUUAGAAGGGAUACAGUUCAGAUUUUAAGAUCAGGG